Caretta caretta (loggerhead turtle) is the source of this 6695-nucleotide non-coding RNA. The record is from RefSeq and is a predicted model, not a curated record. NCBI's taxonomy places the organism in Eukaryota, Metazoa, Chordata, Testudines, Cheloniidae.
UGGAAUUGUUAUUGAAGGAGCAGACAUGAAGAGGGCUGGACCUCUGAGGCAGAAACACCUUAUGGCCCAUUAAAGAGAGAGAAGUUAUUUUGCUCAGGUGCGGGGUCUAUAUGCAGAAGAGCAAAUAGGGCAAGACAAUGCGGGAUCCCAGAAACCCAUCACAAUAGCACCAGCUGCACUGGGCAUAGGGUGCACUUCACCCUUCUCUAAUGCUUCCUCUCCCUCUAUACCACAGCCAAAGACCCUGCUUCAUGAUUGAGACCGCAUCAGCCACAGCUCCUUUCAGAGCCUGUACAGCCUGGCCUCAUGCAUCUACCAGAAGGAGUUACUCCAGGCAGACAGAGGCAUGAUGCGCCUUUACCCCAUCCCUGUUGGUGAUGACAAAGUGCUUAAUUUAGGGAUGAGGAAAUCUCACUUAAAGUUGUGCUAAAUGACUUUGACCUAAAUGUGGGUUCAUACAGCAGUAGAAGAUGGGGCGGGGUGGGUUUAUACAGCAUUUCAGGGUUAGAGAUCUUUGAACAGUCUCAACCAGCAUCCAGCAGCGUAGAUCCAAAUUCAGUGCAGGUGCGAGCUGGUGAACUGACUUCAAUGGGAGUUACACCCACUUCUGCCAAGGCUAGAGUUGGUCCAUAAAGCCUAAUGGUGCUGAUGUGGAGCUAUGUAUGCCACAGUCCCCAGCGGCUGAACAUGGUGUCUCCACUGUAGCCUGGACACACGUGGACCUGGGAAAUUCUAGGUAAUGAACCCAAAUGGUGCUGCUGCCCCAAGACUUGGCAGUGUUGGCCCGGGUGCUAUGUUUAUGGAGCCUUUUUGCAAUGUUUGCACCAAGUUCUGAGUAAUGUAAGAAAUAAGUCAAAGCUCAGGGAAGACAGACGAACUUUUGCUGCACUAUCGUGUGUGUGUGUGUGUGUGAGAGAGAGAGAGAGGCAUGUGUUCAGCUCACACAGAUGCAGCCACAAGAUCAGACCACACCCAGAAGCCUCUCAGAUACACAGACCAAGACAUGCUAAAGAAAACAAAUCCCUUUUCAUUCCACAUCAUUUCUGCAAUUUCCUUUUAGCCAACUCAUCCUGAUCCAGUCUUCCCGAAUGAUCCAAAACAAGAGACAAAAGGAAAAAAAGCAGUGCCCAAAACACACAAAAAGAAAAGGAAUGUGGCUUACGCUCAGGAAUUGGAGUCAAAAGGUUAUCAUUAUUAUUCGUAGUAAGCCUACACCCCAGUCAAGGAUCAUUGUGCGAGCGGCUGUACACACAGGUCACAAAGGACAUUACAGUUCGUGUGCCAGAGAGGAUGCAAUCGGAGGACAAAACAGACAAAUCAGGGCUCAGAGGCUAGAGAGAUUGAAGAAUCACAACACACCGCUUUGGAUCGCCUUAACAAUGUUGUCAAAUUUUAUUCAGCAAAAUAUUUUCCCAAGGAGCGCUAGAAAUCAAAAGAGAAAUCUAACUAGCUUUCAAAAACCAUCAGACUUUUCCAGCAGCUUCCAGUAUGGACUUUGUUUCCAGGCUAAUUACAUGAAUGCCAGUGCAGAGUAGAACAUUAAUUGUAACAAUGUAUCCUCGUGUUCUCUCAGAUACUUUUAGUCAAUAAAAAUACAGCAAUUUACAUGGAUUGCCAUUUAUAGCAUGUGCAUUCAACCCCCUAUUUUCCAUGCACAAUACCCAAUGCACAUGGUCAAGCUGAGUUUGCACCCUACUGCCCAUUUUACAUACUUGCCUUGGACAUUUUGCCAGCAAAGAACAAAAAGUGCGUGAGCAUAUUAGAAAAGUCAGCUCACAUGGUUAAAUGUUUAACUCUUUAGUUACUUGGACCACACUGCAAAACAAAUAUCUAACUGAUAAGGAGGGGGAUCAUGGGCAAUGCUUUUAGAGUAAGCCAAUUUCUUCUUCCUUUAAGAGAGCUGCACAAACCAAUUUACCAAAUUACUUGAAUGUAGGCCCAGAUGGGAUGGGAAACAAUUCUAUCUGAAACGUCCAGCACAGAGUCCCUGGUGGUGGUAGCAUGUUUCUUUAGAGGCUUCCUACGCCAUUCGCCCUCACGCAGUAGGAGAACACCAGCCAGAAGACUCACUCAACUCAGCCUUGUGUUUAUAGAAACAACCCGCUCCCUUGUGACUGUUUCAUCGUAUGGAGCAUAACUUUCCCAAACACCUCACAGGGCUAAUUUUAAAAACACAAAAGCUUUUUAGAAAGCUUGGGUAGGGGAAAUUUGUUGCAGAAGGAAAGAGAUGGCAGAAAUAGACUCCUUCCUUUUUCCUUUCUCUUGUUUGAGAUAAGGAAACAUCACACGCUAAAAGCAAUUUAAAAACAACAUGAAAGAUGGAUAAAUAUAGUCAUGAGCAUUCCAUUGGGUGCAGAGUGCUUCAGCGAUAGAGAAUGAGGGUGACUCUUUGGCCAUGGCAGUUUUUAAGAAAAUCCACAAAGUGGUCAUUGUGGAAAAAGUAAAAGCAACACUUAUAUAGGACCAGGUUGUGAAGCCCCUACUCAGUGGAGGAAGGAUGGCCCAAUGGUUAGGGUAUUAGACUAGGACUUAGAAUCAUAGAAGAUUAGGGUUGGAAGAGACCUCAGGAGGUCAUCUAGUGCAACCCCCUGCUCAAAGGAGGACCAACACUUGGACUUGGAGAGCUUGGGUUCACUUUCCUGCUCUACUGCAGACUUCCUAUGGCACCUUGAGCAAGUGACUUACUCCCUUUGUGCCUAAGCUUUCCAUCUGUGUAAUGGGGAUAAUAGCACUGCCCCAACCCACAGGUGUGUGACAAGGGUAAAUACAUUAAGGAUUGUGAGGUGCUCAGGUAAUGGGGGGCACAUAAGUACCUACGAGAGAGAGAGUCUGAUGAGGAGCUACUCAGGUGAAUAGUCCCAUGGGUGUCAAUAGGUUAGUGAUGUGAAUGUGGUCUGUAGUCUCUUUUAGUUUCAAAACAGUUGAUAGUCAUUGGCUGUCUUAUUCUCACAGCACCCCUAGGAAAUCAGUCAGUGGGAUAAGAGGGAAGGUUCUCUCAUGGAUCAGUAACUGGUUAAAAGAUAGGAAACAAGGGAUAGGAAUAAAUGGUCAGUUCUCAGAAUGAAGAGCGGUAAAUAGUGGUGUCCCUAAGGGUCUCCUGGGAACAACAUAUUCAUAUUCUGUACUGUUCAACAUAUUCAUAAAUGAUCUGGGAAAAGGGGUAAGCAGUGAGGUGGCAAAAUUUGCAGCUGAUACAAAAUACUCAAGAUAGUUAAAUCCAAAGCAGACUGUGAAGAAUUACAAAGGAAUCUUACAAAACUGGGAAACUGGGAAACAAAAUGGCAGAGUAAAUUCUCUAUUGAUAAAUGCGAGGUAAUGAACACUGGAAAACAUAAUCCCAACUAUACAUAUAAAAUAAUAAGUACUUAUCUGACCUCCAUUAUUACCUAAGCACCUCAGAUAAAAUUAGCUGUUACCACUCAAGAAAAAGGUCUUGGAAUCAUUGUGGAUAGUUCUCUGAAAACAUCUACUCAAUGUUCAGUGGCAGUCGAAAAGCUAACAAAAUUUUGGGAAUCAUGAAGAAAAGGAUAAAUAAUAAGACAGAAAAUAUCAUAUUGUCUUUGUAUAAGUCCAUGGUACACCCAUAUCUUGAAUACUGCAUGCAGAUUUGGUCGCCCCAUCUCAAAAAAGAUAUAUUUCAGUUGGAAAAGGUGCAGAAAAGGGCAACAAAAAUUGUUAGGGAUAUGGAGAGAUUAAUAAGACUGGGACUUUUCACCUUGGAAAAGAGACAACUAAGGGGGGAUAUGAUGGAGGGCUAUAAAAUCAUGACUGGUGCGGAGAAACUAAAUAAGGAAGUGUUAUUUACUCUUUCUCAUAACACAAGAGCCAAGGGUCACCAAAUGAAAUUAAUAGGCAGCAGGUUUAAAACCAACAAAAGGGAGUAUUUCUUCACACAACACACAGUCAACCUGUGGAACUCUUUGCCAGAGGAUGUUGUGAAGUCCAAGACUAUAACAGGCUUCAAAAAAGAACUAGAUAUAUUCAUGGAGGAUAGGUCCAUCAAUGGCUAUUAGCCAGGAUGGGCAGGGAUGGUGUCUCUAGCCUCUCUUUGCCAGAAGCUGGGAAUGAGCGACAGGGCAUGGAUCACUUGAUGAUUACUUGUUCUGUCCAUUCCCUCUGAAGUACCUGGCAUUGGCCACUGUCAGAAGGCAGGAUACUGGGCUAGAUGGACCUUUGGUCUGACCCAGUAUGCCCGUUCUUAUGUUCAUGUUAUUAUCCCCUUUUUACAGAGGGAGAAACUGUGACACAGAAAGGUUAAAGUGUGGGGUUCUGUUAUGAAGAGCUAACGCAUAUAAAUGGCAUUGGAGGUCCCUCAUUGUUUCUCUCUCAAUGACUCCCAGGUCAAACGGGCUCUGUUUUCAUCUCACUGCCAGCCCUUUAAAUGUGAUGGCCACCCUCUUGGCCAACAUACUGAGGAUUCAACCAGGGACCUCCUGAGCUAUGAGCAUGAGCUGCUCCAGCUUGAGCAAAAGAACCAAGUGUCCUUAGCUGGGACUCUAAUAGACAUAUACCAUCAAUAAACUGGGCACAUCAGGAGACCUGUAACACACACUGUCCAGUGGGUUACCCAAAUCAGCCUGGACCUGGACAGCAAAGUUGAGGUCUUCCCAUCCAUCCUGAGCAUCAUCACUAGUAUUACAGGUUACACAAGCCAAGUUAGACCAUCACUACCUCUGUGCAACACCACUGUUUUCCAGUUAUGUCCUCUCUGCAAUCCUGUAAUAGUCAGUGGAUUUGCAAGGGUGACAUUAAUUGCAACUUAGUAAAUAGUUGUGUUGAUGGUGCACCGGAAGGAAUAGAAUCCAGUUCACCAUUCCAUAGCAGUUUUGGCUCCUGCAGAGCUAAGAGCAGUGAAAACCGCGCACACACAUUUUACCACUAAAGUCAGUAGAUACAACUUUGAAAGAACAAAAAUAACAAUUCUGUUGAAUAAAAAAAUCUCAUUUUUUUACAUUCCUCUUCAUCUUUCAUCCUGGAGCAUCUUUGCAGACAUGGGCAACAGUACAGUAUUGCCAUUUAUUCCUGUCCAGGCCUUGUUCCUCCAAUAAGCCGAGCCUAGUCAUGUCCCUACGUACAAUGUCCUGCCAUCCAGUCAGUGGUUAGUCUCUAGGUUGGACUAACCUUGGUUGUGUUUGCAUUAUUUUCUUUGGCAUUCUAUCAUCCAUUUAUCUUUUGCAGUGUCCCCACCAUUGCAAUCUCUUCAACUGUAACCAAUCCCACACCUUGAUCUCACAUCCUGCUCCUUCUACCCUCUUUAUUUGUCUUAACAAUCAUUCCACUUUGCACCUGCUGUCCUUCAAAGAACUUUCACCUCUGCUGCCUCCAACCUUCUGAUUAGUUUGGAAAAGAGGAGAUUAAGGGGGAGACAUGAUAACAGUCUUCAAAUAUUUUAAAGGCUGUCAUUCAAAAGGAUGGAGAAAAAUUGUCCUCUCUUGCCACAGAGGGCAGGACAGGAGGCAAUGGGUUCAAACUACAGCAUAGCUGAUUUAGAUUAAAUUUCAGUAAAAAAAAUUCCUAACUUAAGAACAGUAGGACAAUGGAACAGACUGCCUAGGAAAAUCAUGGAAUCUUCUUCACUGGAGGUUUCCGAAAAGAGGCUGGAUAGCCCUCUGUCUUGGAUGGUGUAGACACAACAAAUGCUUCUUCUUGGCGAGGGUACACUAGAUGACCCUUUGUGCCCCUUCUCACCCUAUGAUCCUAUGUCUGUUUUGUUCAGUGCAGCUGCUUCCAGACCACAGAGUAAUACUGUUAGUACAUUGGUUUUAAAAUUUUUAACUUUGGCACCAAACAUAAUGUUUUUAUCGGUUCAUAAUUUCAACAACUUCAGUGCAGCUCUUGAGGCUAAGGCAUUUUAACAUCAUCACUACUCAUAGAUGAACCCUCAGGGCAAAAUUCUCACACCUGGUUGAAUAAAUGUAGGUAUCUAUGUGCUUUGACACUUACUUAAAUGGUCUGAUUGUCAGUGAGCAAGAGGGGGGUGGUCAUGCCCAACGGUUAGAGCAGGAGUCAGCACCCAAGGUCAGAGCCGGUGCCAGAGGCCGGACUCCAAAGCCAGAAAUCAGAGCUGAGGGUCACAGACAAUUUACCUGGAGUGAGGCAAGGCAGCCGUGAAGCACUGUUUUGAGCAGCUGGUGCACUGUUGCUGCCUCUGGGUUUAAGAGCCAGUCUGCUGUCUCUGAUGACCAAUCAGAGGCUGUAGCCAAUCAGGCAGCCUACUACAGGUGCUCGUUUGGUUGCCUGGAGGCUGGCUCUGCUGCCGACCCUGCUUCCUGACAUUGAUCUUCCUAGGUGCUGAGCACCUACAUCUCCCGCUGAGAGAACGCUUAUGGGGGCAGAGCUCCACACCCAAAGACACAGGACUGGGAUGAACCCCAGGAUGAAGGAAGGUUGUCCUUGGCUUUAGGCUCAGACUCCGGUGAUCUGGAUUCAGUCCUUGUCUCUGCCACAGACUCCUUGUGUGACCUUGGUUAAUCACUUAAUCGCUCUGUACCCUCUGUAAAGUCAAGUUCCCUUUCUCCCCCCUUUCGUCCAACUUUUCUAUUUAGAUUGUACGUUCUUCAAGGGAGGGACUAUCAAUUUAAUAUGAUUGUGCAGCACCUACCACAAUGAAGCCCUGAUCUCGGCUGCGGCCAGGAAUUACCAUAAUGAUAAGCUUGGGGAACUUUUCUGAUGCUCUUUUUUGGCUUUGUUUCAUU